RNAcentral lists this ribosomal RNA (253 nucleotides) under uncultured bacterium. Its description in RNAcentral is "partial 16S ribosomal RNA". It matches the Rfam family "Bacterial small subunit ribosomal RNA", at positions 524 to 776 of the family's 1533-position model. The record is from RNAcentral.
UACAGAGGGUGCGAGCGUUGUCCGGAAUCACUGGGCGUAAAGGGCGCGUAGGUGGCGGCCCAAGUCCGUGGUGAAAGCUCGCCGCUUAACGGCGAGUCGGCCACGGAGACUGGGUGGCUCGAGCACUGUAGGGGCAGAUGGAAUUCCAGGUGUAGCGGUGAAAUGCGUAGAUAUCUGGAGGAACACCGGUGGCGAAGGCGGCAUCCUGGACCGAUACUGACGCUGAGGAGCGAAAGCCAGGGGAGCAAACGGG